Long non-coding RNA from Oncorhynchus tshawytscha (Chinook salmon), 1175 nucleotides. NCBI's taxonomy places the organism in Eukaryota, Metazoa, Chordata, Actinopteri, Salmoniformes, Salmonidae. The record is from Ensembl.
CAACCACAGGUCCUCCUCUGCUGAGUGCUGAGGCACAAGAACAAAACAUAACAGGAGCUCUCCUUUGAAAUCGCAACAGCUGCUAAAUGUCCCUCAGACAAUACACACGUUUAGCAGGCGACGAUACCAAGAAUCAAUCAGGUACACAAACAAAGUGGAACAUUGUCACACGCAGAAACACAUAGCAUUGGAAUGAACAACGACAAAGACUUUUGGUGUGUUAGAUUGUCUGCACACGCGCUGACAGAGAAGACGAUGCAGCUUGAGAAGACGACAGCAAGAGAUUGACACCACAACACGUCUGGUUUCCACUCCUAUAACAACACUCACGUGACAUUCACUGACCUGAAUAACCUCAAAUGGAAAUACUGCAGUAUUUUUUCCAAAGUGCCUUAUGCCUCUCUUGGUAACAGUAAGAUAAUGCAAAUAUCAAAAGCAAUACGUUGAAGGAAAUUUCUCCAAAGAAAAUGGAUGUCCUUUGCUGUAUUCCAGGAUACCUCCUCAACUAUGGCAACAGGCUCCCUCCCUCUUGCUGUGAUACCGUUAAAGAUGAAUAUCUCAGGGAUCUGAAGAAGAACGCAAUCAUCCAUUAAUAAGUCUACAGAUUAUUUUUUUUACGUGGCCCUAGAUUCCUUACCCGAUAUAUUGUGAUAAUGUGGCGCUGCAUAAAACCCAUUGACAAAAGGAUCAAGUUAUACGCCAAUUUAAUGAUAAGUAAUUUGUCACACAGCACAUAAAGGCACCAGGGCCUACUGUGAUUAGGCCUAUAUUUAUAAUAUUUUUACCAAUAAAACUGAAUACUAUAAAAGUUUAGAGAAAUCUAUCCCGAUGUAAUGUAGUGAACAUUAUACCAUAAUCCAGUCCGAGUAUUGGUAUUGUGGGAUUCCAGUUCAAUGUUUUACAGUAGCAAUUAGUGAAAUCAGUCACAAUACGAAAUGCUACUAAAAAAGUUUUUUUUAAAUUAAUUUAUAAUACUUUGACUAUAUAGUUUCACAGACAUAUUGUUGCAUUUUUUUCUGGUUUGUACGAAAUCGAUAAGAAUAAUAUAAAACCAGUCUGCAUACCACCAAGGUGAAUUGGUUUAGUCUUGACUCUUGGUUGACAGUGUUGGGGGCUGGGUAAUGUAUUGAUGCUUGAGUGCCAAAUCAACACAUUUAUUUCUAUUUGUCUUAGUC